This 98-nucleotide microRNA precursor is filed under the name Chlorocebus sabaeus (green monkey). RNAcentral describes it as "miRNA (ENSCSAG00000021181.1)". The record is from RNAcentral. Lineage: Eukaryota; Metazoa; Chordata; Mammalia; Primates; Cercopithecidae.
AGGUGGGAGGAUUGCUUGAGCCCAGGAGGUGGAGGUUGCAGUGAGCUGAAAUCAUGCCACUGCACUCCAGCCUGGAUGAUAGAGUGAGACCUUGUCUC